RNAcentral lists this ribosomal RNA (402 nucleotides) under uncultured Pseudoxanthobacter sp. RNAcentral's name for it is "bacterial SSU rRNA". It matches the Rfam family "Bacterial small subunit ribosomal RNA", at positions 355 to 774 of the family's 1533-position model. Lineage: Bacteria; Pseudomonadati; Pseudomonadota; Alphaproteobacteria; Hyphomicrobiales; Segnochrobactraceae. The record is from RNAcentral.
UGGGGAAUAUUGGACAAUGGGCGCAAGCCUGAUCCAGCCAUGCCGCGUGAGUGAUGAAGGCCUUAGGGUUGUAAAGCUCUUUCAGCUGGGAAGAUAAUGACGGUACCAGCAGAAGAAGCCCCGGCUAACUUCGUGCCAGCAGCCGCGGUAAUACGAAGGGGGCUAGCGUUGUUCGGAAUCACUGGGCGUAAAGCGCACGUAGGCGGAUCGAUAAGUCAGGGGUGAAAUCCCGAGGCUCAACCUCGGAACUGCCUUUGAUACUGUCGACCUUGAGUCCGGGAGAGGUGAGUGGAACUCCGAGUGUAGAGGUGAAAUUCGUAGAUAUUCGGAAGAACACCAGUGGCGAAGGCGGCUCACUGGCCCGGUACUGACGCUGAGGUGCGAAAGCGUGGGGAGCAAACA